GACGAACGCUGGCGGCGUGCUUAACACAUGCAAGUCGAGCGGUAAGGCCCUUUCGGGGGUACACGAGCGGCGAACGGGUGAGUAACACGUGGGUGACCUGCCCUCAGCUCUGGGAUAAGCCCGGGAAACUGGGUCUAAUACUGGAUAUGACUCCAUGACGCAUGUUGUGGGGUGGAAAGCCUUGUGCGGCUGAGGAUGGGCCCGCGGCCUAUCAGCUUGUUGGUGGGGNGAUGGCCUACCAAGGCGACGACGGGUAGCCGGCCUGAGAGGGCGACCGGCCACACUGGGACUGAGACACGGCCCAGACUCCUACGGGAGGCAGCAGUGGGGAAUCUUGCGCAAUGGGCGAAAGCCUGACGCAGCGACGCCGCGUGA
RNAcentral lists this ribosomal RNA (375 nucleotides) under uncultured bacterium. RNAcentral describes it as "bacterial SSU rRNA". It matches the Rfam family "Bacterial small subunit ribosomal RNA", at positions 28 to 404 of the family's 1533-position model. The record is from RNAcentral.